Molecule: ribosomal RNA, 256 nt
Filed under: uncultured bacterium
Lineage: Bacteria
Description: partial 16S ribosomal RNA
Rfam family: Bacterial small subunit ribosomal RNA
Source: RNAcentral
UAUUCCUACGGGACGCAGCAGUGGGGAAUAUUGCACAAUGGGGGGAACCCUGAUGCAGCAAUGCCGCGUGAAGGAUGAAGGUUUUCGGAUUGUAAACUUCUUUUGUACGGGACGAAGAAAGUGACGGUACCGUAAGAAUAAGCCACGGCUAACUACGUGCCAGCAGCCGCGGUAAUACGGAGGAUGCGAGCGUUAUCCGGAUUUAUUGGGUUUAAAGAGUGCGUAGGCGGGCUUUUAAGUCAGCGGUAAAAAUUCG